CCGCGAAUUCCAUCUAUCGCGUGCACCAUAACAGGGGACCCGCGGAUUCCGUUGCUAGGUUUACGUUGUCAACCUCUUCAAAAGCCAAAGGGAUGCGGUUCCAUUUUCAUUUUCUCUCCACUCGCACUAAAACGCUGCUGCCGCCAACACCAUCGCCACCGCCCCUGAGAGCCCUACGUCACGCCGCCGUAUCCAUAAACCACAUCCAUCGCUCCUCCGCCCGAAGGCUGUAGUCACC
Molecule: long non-coding RNA, 238 nt
Filed under: Setaria italica (foxtail millet)
Lineage: Eukaryota; Viridiplantae; Streptophyta; Magnoliopsida; Poales; Poaceae
Description: long non-coding RNA (SITA_LNC003149)
Source: RNAcentral